CAGCAGCCGCGGUAAUUCCAGCUCCAAUAGCGUAUACUAAAGCUGCUGCGGUUAAAAAGCUCGUAGUUGGAUCUCAGUUCCAGACGAGUAGUGCAUCUACCCGAUGCGACGGCUCGGACUGAACAUCAUGCCGGUUCUUUCUUGGUGCACUUCAUUGUGUGCCUCGAGAUGGCCGGUGCUUUUACUUUGAAAAAAUUAGAGUGCUCAACGCAGGCGAGUCGCCUGAAUAAACUUGCAUGGAAUAAUAGAACAAGACCUCGUUUCUGUUCUGUUGGUUUUUGGAAUACGAGGUAAUGAUUAAGAGGGACGGACGGGGGCAUUCGUAUUGCGGCGCUAGAGGUGAAAUUCUUGGACCGUCGCAAGACGAACUACUGCGAAAGCAUUUGCCAAGAAUGUUUUCAUUGAUCAAGAACGAAAGUCAGAGGUUCGAAGGCGAUCAGAUACCGCCCUAGUUCUGACCAUAAACGAUGCCAACCAGCGAUCCGCCUGAGUUACUCAAAUGACUCGGCGGGCAGCUUCCGGGAAACCAAAGUAUUUGGGUUCCGGGGGAAGUAUGGUUGCAAAGCUGAAACUUAAA
RNAcentral lists this ribosomal RNA (577 nucleotides) under Rhipicephalus microplus (southern cattle tick). Its description in RNAcentral is "SSU rRNA". It matches the Rfam family "Eukaryotic small subunit ribosomal RNA", at positions 568 to 1148 of the family's 1831-position model. Lineage: Eukaryota; Metazoa; Arthropoda; Arachnida; Ixodida; Ixodidae. The record is from RNAcentral.